Molecule: ribosomal RNA, 301 nt
Filed under: uncultured bacterium
Lineage: Bacteria
Description: partial 16S ribosomal RNA
Rfam family: Bacterial small subunit ribosomal RNA
Source: RNAcentral
CAGUCGCCGCGGGAAUACGAAGGGUGCAAGCGUUAAUCGGAAUUACUGGGCGUAAAGCGUGCGUAGGCGGUGAGUUAAGUCUGCUGUGAAAUCCCCGGGCUCAACCUGGGAAUGGCAGUGGAUACUGGCUCGCUAGAGUGUGUCAGAGGAUGGUGGAAUUCCCGGUGUAGCGGUGAAAUGCGUAGAGAUCGGGAGGAACAUCAGUGGCGAAGGCGGCCAUCUGGGACAACACUGACGCUGAGGCACGAAAGCGUGGGGAGCAAACAGGAUUAGAUACCCGAGUAGUCCCUGUCUCUUAUAC